Molecule: ribosomal RNA, 253 nt
Filed under: uncultured bacterium
Lineage: Bacteria
Description: partial 16S ribosomal RNA
Rfam family: Bacterial small subunit ribosomal RNA
Source: RNAcentral
UACGAAGGGGGCUAGCGUUGCUCGGAAUUACUGGGCGUAAAGCGCACGUAGGCGGAUUGUUAAGUCGGGGGUGAAAUCCUGGAGCUCAACUCCAGAACUGCCUUCGAUACUGGCGAUCUCGAGUUCGGGAGAGGUGAGUGGAACUGCGAGUGUAGAGGUGAAAUUCGUAGAUAUUCGCAAGAACACCAGUGGCGAAGGCGGCUCACUGGCCCGAUACUGACGCUGAGGUGCGAAAGUGUGGGGAGCGAACAGG